UUCUCGUUCUCGUUCUCGCUCCUGCACCUUGUGGCCAUCAAGUGGUUGCAGGACGAGGCCAGUUGAAAAAUCAACGGAAAGAAAGCAAAAGUCAGACGGAGCGUGAGGUCCAUGGAUCACCGAUCUGUUCCUCAAUGCAACCCUCGAUGCACAGGAACCUUCCACACGGUGGUGUAGUGAAGUCGAUGAAAGAGGAGGAGGAAGAGGAGGCACUGACGUCCACUGCAGUAAAACACCACAGAAGAAGACAGAGGAAGAGUUUUCUGAAUGUGUCCUAUCUGGCUGUGUCAGGAGGGUGGGUUUGAGGUUUGAGGGCGUCACCUGAGCUGGGAAGAUUCACAAAUUAUCACUUUAUGCUGACGAUCUCCUUUUGUAUAUGUCCAAUCCGCCAGCCUCUCUCCCCGUGGUUCUCAGUAUUUUUGAUAAAUUUGGAUCCUAUUCAGGUUAUAAACUUAAUCUCCACAAGAGCGAACUUUUCCCCCUGAACCCUCUGGCUAAAGGUAUACCCCAACCUUUUUUCCCCUUUAAGUAUGCUAUGGAUGGAUUUAAAUAUUUGGGGGUGUCCUUUUCUGAGCUCUCAAAGAAAAUUGACUUACCGAAUUCCCACCUAUUCCGUUUCUUUCAAAUAAGACAUUUUUUCAGAACCAGAACCCGGCACUCCCUAGUCGUCCCCCGGAAACGCUAGUGGACUCCUUAUUAUCUCUUCAUCCUGAACGUAGGGGGUUAACUUCUAGUAUUUACAGCCUUAUCAGUUCUGCUAUUGACAGUCCAGUGUCUGGUCCCAGUGCUUCCUGGGAACAAGAACUUGGAUUCACACUGGGUUCACUCCUCCUCGAUUUGUGCAAGACACGGCCUCCUACAGUGUAAAGUUGUGCACAAAGUUCACUACACUAAUUUGAGGUUAUCUCGGAUUUACCCCAAUGUGAGUGCCUCUUGUAAUAGGUGCAAACAAUCUCCAGCUGACCGUACACAUAUGUUUUGGUUGUGUCCGAGGCUUUCCACAUUCUGGUGUGAAAUCUUCACAACUCUUAGCACGGCAUAUGGUACUAUUAUUACUCCUGAGCCUCUCCUGGCCUUGUUUGGUGCUCCCUUGCAGCCUAUUUCCUCUAACGUUCUUACAUUUACUACCCUGUUGGCCAGGCGUCUUAUACUCCUCACCUGGAAACACCCUCGUUCUCCAUCUCACAGUAGAUGGGUGAAAGAGCUGCUACUGUCCAUUAGACUGGAAAGGUUUAGGUUUUCCCUGAAUGGAUCCUUAAGUUCAUUUGAGAGGACUUGGAAACCUCUUUUAAAACAUAUUGAAUGCUUGACAUCUCUGCCUGAUUGUGAUGAC
Long non-coding RNA from Solea senegalensis (Senegalese sole), 1333 nucleotides. RefSeq lists it as uncharacterized. The transcript is spliced from 5 exons. The record is from RefSeq and is a predicted model, not a curated record. NCBI's taxonomy places the organism in Eukaryota, Metazoa, Chordata, Actinopteri, Pleuronectiformes, Soleidae.